AGAGUUUGAUCAUGGCUCAGAACGAACGCUGCGGCGUGGAUAAGACAUGCAAGUCGAACGCUGACAUUUAGGUAGCAAUAUUUGAAUGUCGGAGUGGCGCAAGGGUGCGUAACACGUGGGUAAUUUGCCGUGAAGUUUGGGAUAACUUGCUGAAAGGCGAGCUAAUACCGGAUGUGAAUUGUUGAAGGCAUCUUCGAUAAUUCAAAGUUGGGGACCGCAAGGCCUGACGCUUUACGAUAAGCCCGCGGCCUAUCAGCUAGUUGGUGAGGUAACGGCUCACCAAGGCUAAGACGGGUAGCUGGUCUGAGAGGACGACCAGCCUCACUGGAACUGAGACACGGUCCAGACACCUACGGGUGGCAGCAGUCGAGAAUUUUUCUCAAUGGGCGAAAGCCUGAAGGAGCGACGCCGCGUGGGGGAUGAAUGGCUUCGGCCCGUAAACCCCUGUCAUUUGUGAACAAAUUGCUUCACCUAACACGUGAAGCAUUGAUUGUAACGGAAGAGGAAGGGACGGCUAACUCUGUGCCAGCAGCCGCGGUAAUACAGAGGUCCCAAGCGUUGUUCGGAUUCACUGGGCGUAAAAGGGUGCGUAGGCGGUUUGAUAAGUCUGAUGUGAAAUCCCGCAGCUUAACUGCGGAACUGCAUUGGAAACUAUUUGACUAGAGGAAUGGAGGGGAGACUGGAAUACUUGGUGUAGCAGUGAAAUGCGUAGAUAUCAAGUGGAACACCAGUGGCGAAGGCGAGUCUCUGGACAUUUCUUGACGCUGAGGCACGAAAGCCAGGGGAGCAAACGGGAUUAGAUACCCCAGUAGUCC
RNAcentral lists this ribosomal RNA (815 nucleotides) under uncultured bacterium. RNAcentral's name for it is "bacterial SSU rRNA". It matches the Rfam family "Bacterial small subunit ribosomal RNA", at positions 8 to 796 of the family's 1533-position model. The record is from RNAcentral.